RNAcentral lists this ribosomal RNA (172 nucleotides) under uncultured Alcaligenes sp. RNAcentral's name for it is "partial 16S ribosomal RNA". The record is from RNAcentral. Lineage: Bacteria; Pseudomonadati; Pseudomonadota; Betaproteobacteria; Burkholderiales; Alcaligenaceae.
GGCCCGGUAUGGAGCGGUAGCUUGGGAGCGCACUGCCGUCGUGAUUUGUCGUUGGCCUUCGUGGUUGUGGAGUUAUUUUGGCAGGGGAGGACGCUGCCUUGGUUAAUACCCUGGCCUUGACGGUUCCUCGCAGUAAGCCACGGCUUACUUCGUGCCCCAGCCGCGGUAAUAA